CUUUCCAAGAGGAAUCCUCGGCAGAUAAACUGGACUGUCCUCUACAGAAGGAAGCACAAAAAGGGACAGUCGGAAGAAAUUCAAAAGAAAAGAACCCGCCGAGCAGUCAAAUUCCAGAGGGCCAUUACUGGUGCAUCUCUUGCUGAUAUAAUGGCCAAGAGGAAUCAGAAACCUGAAGUUAGAAAGGCUCAACGAGAACAAGCUAUCAGGUGAGGAAUGCUUUCAUUAUGAGCAUUUUACCUAUUCGGAUGGAUUUUAGGUUUGGGUCUUCAGUAAUUAAAGUUACCAUAUAGUCUAAUAUAUGUUAAGCUGAGUUGGUGGCUAAUGAAAAUUAUUGACAAAUUCUUUGGAUUUAGCCUACAAAUAAAUGGAGGUGGGGAAGGAAGGAAUAUGGUCAUUGUACUUGUCCAGUACAGUCUAACUCUAAUAAUAAGUUGUACCACUAAGGAGUAAAGUGCUUUUGCCUUAAGUUACUUUUACCCCACAGGGCUGCUAAGGAAGCAAAAAAGGCUAAGCAAGCAUCUAAAAAGACUGCAAUGGCUGCUGCUAAGGUAAUUAUGGGGUUUCUUUACUUUCUUGAACAAUACAACAGGAAAAUUUUCUUUUUUUGAGACGGAGUUUUGCUCUGUUGCCCAGGAUGGGGUGCAGUGGCGUGAUCUGAUCUCGGCUCACUGCAACCUCUGCCUCCCGGGUUCAAGUGAUACUCCUGCCUCAGCCUCCCGAGUAGCUGGGAGUACAGGUGCGCGCCAUCACGCCCGGCUAAUUUUUGUAUUUUUUUUUUUUUUUCUUAAGUAGAGACAGGGUUUCACCAUGUCGGACAGGCUGGUCUUGAACUCUUGACCUCAGGUGAUCUGCCCACCUCAGCCUCCCAAAGUGCUGGGAUUACAAGUGUGAGCCACUGAGCCCGGCUGGAAAAUUAAUUUUCAGUCUAAAUUGUGAUAAAUGAAAGUUUCACAGUUUUAAGGUAUUGAAUGCAAGGCUCAAUUGGAAAUGAUAUUUGUAGCCAAUUACUUGGCCAAUGGUUCAGGUCUCCAGAGAGGUGGUCCUCUCCAUAAGCCAAAUCAUGUGUUACUGUUAGGAACUGGGAAAAAUAAAGGUUGGCUUUUUUUUUUGUUUUUUGUUUUUUCCCCCUUCAACACAGGGCCUCACUCUGUAGCCCAGCUGGAGUGCAGUGGCACAAUCACGGCUUGCUGCAGCCUCAACCUCCUGGGCUCAAGUGAUCCUCCUGACUCAGGCCCCUAAGUAGCUGGGACUACAGGCAAGCACUACCACACCCAGCUAAUAGGUAUUUUAGUUGAGAUGGUUUCGCCAUGUUGCCCAGGCUGGCCUCAAACUCCUGAGCUCAAGCGAUCCACCUGCUUUAGCGCCCCGAAGUGUUGGGAUGAGCCCCUGCACCAUGCCUGGUUUUGAAAGUUAUUAUGGUUAUCUACAUUGAUAACAUUGAGAAAAGCUGAGUAAACACUGUACUGUUACUGAGAUCUUUUCUGUGAGUUUCUGUCAGGAUGCAUUUCAGGAUCCUACACUGCACUUGGUUGUGUCUCAUUUCCUCCAGUCUGUGAUGGUAUCUUAGUCUUUGUCUUUCAUUGUAAAGAUGGGCUUUAAAUAUUUAAGGGUAGUCACAUUAAAAGAUUGGCAUUAGGAAUGCAGUUAAAUUACUAAGAAAGUGAUCUAAGCUACAUAAACAAUCUGGAUGUGAGAGAUGGGUAAUAAUAGGGUAACAAAAGUUUUGUGGAGUAAUAUCAUGUUAUCUUUUUACAGGCACCUACAAAGGCAGCACCUAAGCAAAAGAUUGUGAAGCCUGUGAAAGUUUCAGCUCCCCGAGUUGGUGGAAAACGCUAAACUGGCAGAUUA
RNAcentral lists this small RNA (1851 nucleotides) under Pan troglodytes (chimpanzee). Its description in RNAcentral is "retained intron". The record is from RNAcentral. Lineage: Eukaryota; Metazoa; Chordata; Mammalia; Primates; Hominidae.